Molecule: RNA transcript, 1254 nt
Organism: Phyllostomus hastatus (greater spear-nosed bat)
Lineage: Eukaryota; Metazoa; Chordata; Mammalia; Chiroptera; Phyllostomidae
Gene: SOX15
Gene name: SRY-box transcription factor 15
Exons: 3
Source: RefSeq, a predicted model, not a curated record
UGAGGGCAAGUGAGUGGUGUGGUGUGUGGGCUGUGCUGCCCCAUAGCCAAAAUACUCUAGAGACUUGAGUGGAAAGUUUACGGCCUCCACCGAAGCCACAGGUAGGAGAAGCGGGACUGGGUGUGGCAUUGUACUACAACAAGGAAAGAAGAGAGCAACCUGCCGUGUACUGGUUACCGGACAGAUUUUGCACUCUAAUCUCAAGUGUGCAAACUGGUAGGGAGCAGGGAUUCCAGAAUAAGGACUCUGAACUUAGGGACAAUAUAUACUUUUUAAGGACACGAGUUUCUGUGAAACAACUCCAGACCAGGAAGACACUUCCACUUUCAGGGUACUGGGUUUGCGGAGCAACUUUUCGCUUUGGAGGAGAGGGCGUGUGGGUGCCCUGUUAAGGCUUCCCUCCAUGGAGCUACCCAGCCCCUCACAAAACCAGGCCUGGAGCCUGGAACCUCCAGCUCCCACAGCCCCUGCCUCCUCGUCCUCCAGCUCCCAGAAGCAGAACGCUGGGAGCCCCGAGGCUUCCGGGGGGCUUCCCUUGGAGAGGGUGAAACGACCCAUGAACGCGUUCAUGGUGUGGAGCUCUGCUCAGCGCCGCCAGAUGGCGCAGCAAAACCCUAAGAUGCACAACUCGGAGAUCUCCAAGCGCCUGGGAGCGCAGUGGAAGCUGCUGGGCGAGGAUGAGAAGCGGCCCUUCGUGGAGGAGGCCAAGCGGCUGCGAGCCCGGCACCUGCGCGACUACCCCGACUACAAGUACCGGCCACGGCGUAAGACCAAGAAUGCGAGCGCUGGGCUGCCCCACUUUGACCAGGGAAGCAGCGGUGUGCCUGGCAACAGGCCAGUCUGGGGGCCUGGGUACACAACCACCCACGGGAACAGAGGCUUUGGGUACCAGCCCCCUAACUACUCAACAUCCUACCUUCCUGGAGGUUACAGCCCCCAGGGCAAGGAGGCUAAGCCCAACUCUGCCCCUUUCUGGCCGGCAGCCCCAAAAGAGGAAUACAGGCACACAGCACGCAAGUUCCCUGGUGAGCCUGUCCCAACAAGGCUGCCCUGCUCUCUAAGCCAGCCAUGAGUCUGGCUCUGUACUUGCAGUACCAGGUGGAGCCCAAAUAUCCAGGGAAUGCUCUUCCCACUGUAAACCAGAGGCCUCAGCGUGUUCCCUCCAUCAGAGUAACCCUAGGCUCCAGGGGGAGUUGCUCCCCUCCUAUAACCCCUACCUAUCCUCAGGCCCGCCCACUCCUUACAACCCUCCCC